GGCAGGGAACGAAGAUGAGGGAAGGCUGUUUUAUUUUCUCUGGACUCUCAAUUGAUGUGACAAAAUCAGCCGAAACCAAAGUUUAAAAAGAGAAAAAUGCUAAAGUCAGCUUAUAUCACAAGGAUGGAUGUAGGAUUCUGGGGGUGUGGUUCAGGCUGUGAGGACUCUGUGUCUUUGGGAAUUAUUUUGCUCACCUCCAUCAUUCAUUAAGUGCUGAAUGCUACUGGCAUCUGCUGCCUAUGGCCCUCUCUCAGGGUCCCUGGAGAGCUUGGAUACCAUAUGUAUUUCCUCUGGCUCAGCAGUGCAGGUUGAAUGAGCCCUAAUAACCCAGGUGGAAAAGCCUUGACUAUGAAAGGGUUAGGAAGUGUUGACCAGGUUAAAACUUGGAGGCAGCGUUAUCUAUCUUACAUGAUCAACCUGUCCAAAUAUUCUUACGUUUAUUGUCAUAGUUGUAAUUCAUAAUUUAAAUACCUGUGGUUUUUGAUGGUCUUAAGACAAUCCCCGUGAAAAGGUUGUUCAACCCCAAAGGGGAUGUGAGCCACAGGCUGAGAGUCCCUGCUGUAGAGGAGCACAGCUUAUUGACUUUCUUCCCAGGAGUGGCGUCAUAUCCACUGAGCUGGGCCCUCCCAUAUUAUUCAUCAAGAAAAUGGCCCACAGGCUUGCCCACAGGCCUGUCUGCCCGAGGACAUUGUUUUCACUUGAGGUUCUCCCUGAAUUACUUUAACUUGAAUGAGUUGACAAAACUCUAGCCAGAACACAUAGCAAAUUUGGGGGUUGUCUUUUCACGUAUUCUGUUAAAUUUUGUUAAAUUAUUUUAAACUUUAUUCUGAAGUAACUGAGUUGAUUUUUUUUACCAGCAUUACCACAAAACUAGAUGCAAAUCAAGUCAGCACACAGUGAUGUGAAAUCACUCAAAAGCCAAAUAUUAAAUACUUCCUCUCCCUGAGAAUUAUAGUGGGCAAUUUCUACCUUCCUUAGUCAGAUCUCAUAGCCUUUAAUAAUAAGGGCCUUUCAUAAUUUUUAGUUGAUCUUAAUAAUAACUAAAUCUAAUGGCAGAAAUCCCUACACAUUAAUACCCUGUAAUCCAACAGCUUACAGUAAGGAAUAUUUUUUUUGUUAAAUAUCACUUAUGUUACAGAUAUGAUUAGUGGCAAAAUUAAGUGAUUUGCCCCAGAGUUCCCAAAAUUCAAGCACACUCCGUCUGAAUGAGUUAGCUUGAGUAUAUUUCAGAAGUAUCAAAUUUGUUUGACGUUUUCUCUUAAAUCGCAGGGCUCCAGCUGGAAGAUGACAGUUAGAGCAUGUCUCAGAGGUGUUUGUUAUAACAGCCCUUCAUCGUUGGGGAAGAGGGGUGCAUAAAAGAUUUUGACUUUAAAAUGAUGAACAUUAAUAAUGGAUGACAUGUUCAAACUUUUAUUAGAACUCAGUGUUUAUUUAAUUUUAUUCAGGAAAGUUAAAAUGUGCCUGUUAUCAUCAAUAAAAAUGUAGCUCAGGGCUAGAGAGCUAACACCUGGUGCCAAAAAAUCGUCAUGAAGAUGGAAAAGCCUGGCCUGCCGUAAGUCCAGCUCAGCUGUUAGCUGUUACAGUCAGUGCCAUCUCUGUUCACAGAACAAAAAUACCAUCCCACAGGGUGGAUGAUAUUACAGUACAACUUGUGGCCAGUCUUUUCUCAAGUCUCUACAGAUGUGGCUUCAUUAGCGGCUUGGUCACCUUCUACAGUUGGCAAACUCUACCCACUUUGGGCAGCUUUGUGCUUGGGGAGGGUAGUUGCCUGGUGUGGGACAACUCAACUGGUCCAGUCAGAUCCUCUGAGAUUCUGAAACCUGUGUCAACUGCGUAGUGUUGGUUGCUCUUUUGCUUAGGGCUCUGUGGAGAGGAAACAGCAUUGUAGCUGCUCGGGUACUGGGGGAUGAGGGGGAUACAAGGCACAUAGGUACUUGCCUCCAGUCACUUUGGCAGAACACAACAGGACUCAGGGCUUACUGCCUACAACAGGAGCUGGCCAUGAUGCUCUAUGCCUGAGCCUUAGUGGUCUGCCUCAAUUGAUAUAUUGAAACCUCACCCCAUCUACCCCUGAUCUUGGGAGGUAUAAGGCCUUUGAGAGGCCUCAAAAUGAAGGACUAGGGAAACUUGUUUUCCCCUUCCUGCCUAGUGGGGACAUAGGCAUGUGAAACAGGAGGUGGGACCUCACCUAGUCUGCUGGCUCUGUGAUUUUUAAGAUUUUCAAGCUUGCAGAAUUUCAAGAGAUUAAUUUAUGUCUGUGGUAUUGUGUAGUGUCAGGUUGCUCUUCUGCUGGGUCUCUCAGGUUUAAGUGCAGAUGGACAGCCUUAUUUUUCUGUUGGAAGAAGUAAACCCAAGGCCUAGGAGGUGGUAUAUCCAUGCUUGCUAACCUAGGCCAAAUACCAUAAUCUUAUGCUAAUGGAUUUCAGAAGAUUGAAGCUUUUCUCUGAAUACAGAUCUUCAGUUUAGGUGUGAAAAUCUUGCUCCUGGGACCUAGAAAACAGCAUCUUGCAAGUGUUUUGUUUAGGGAUAUUAUUAUUAUUAUUAUUAUUUAUAUGAGAACACUGAACACUGUAGCUAUCUUUAGACACACCAGAAGAGGGCAUCGGAUCCCAUUGCAGAUGGUUGUUAGCCACCAUGUGGUUGCUGGGAAUUGAACUCAGGACCUCUAGAAGAGUAGUCAGUGCUCUUUACUGCUGAGCCAUCUCUCUGGGGAUUUUUCAGUAGGAUAUUCUGUUCCUUCUUUGUUCUGUGUUUGUUUAUGCCAAAGUAUUGCAGUUUAAAGAUAAUUGAACAAUCUGUAAAUAGCCAUUAUUUUGCACAGUGUGAUACUUUACCUGCCCCAGCACAUAGCUUGCUAGCAUUUGGAAAGUUUCUAAUGGGCUAAUUCUAGCUAUUCUCAUUCCUAUGACUUAUGCAAAGCAGGCUGCAGCGGCCUGCCACACACACAACUGAAAGUCUCACACCCUAAGUCAGUUUUGUAAGGAAUGAUUUUAUGAUAAACAUGAGAUUUGGAAAGAGAAAUGUGUGGUUGAACUCUCAUGCAGAUUGGUACAGAUUCUCCAGUGUGCACUGUGUCUGGACUGGUACAAGAUGGCACAUACUAGGCAUGUUUGUUCUGGGUGGAAUUCACUGAAGCCAACAGAUAGGAUCCCACUGUUGGUGCCUGCAUCAGGAGUUGGUUGUUGGAACCCUAGUUAUAAGGAUUCUGGAGACAGCACUGGAAAGUACUUGUCUCUAUAUGUGGUAUAGAUGGAGUGAGCAGACCCUCUGGUUAAUAGGAUUUCUGGUCUGCCAUGUUUAUAUGAGCUUGCUGUUUAUGGCUUGGGUCCUUGAGAAAUGGAUGUGAAGGCUUGCCUCUUAAAAAAAAUCUUUUGAUAAAAUACGUCAAAUUCUAGGAGAAAAGUCAUACAGGUUUUCCAUCACACACAAUCUUCAAUGUCUCAUAUUUUUGGUUGUGAGCCUAGCCUUUACCAGCUGAGCCAUCUAGUCAGAGACCUGGGAUUAGGGAGACUCCAGGGAGUCUUUGAACAUGACUGUAGCUGAGAGUCCUAGCAGUGGGGCAUAUGGAGCUUGAAUUGGCCACCUCCUGUAGCCUAGGACCUAGGACCUAGCACACACAUACACACACACACACACACACACACAUAAAGCAGAUGUGCAGCUUGGUCUUCAUUUGGGUCCUCCAACAACUGGAGCAGGAACUAUCUCUGACUCUGUUACCUACCUGUGGAUCCCAUUCCCCUAAUUGGGCUACCUUGUCUGGCCUCAAUGGGAGAUGUGCCUAGUCCUGCAGUGACUUGAGGUGUCAGGAUGGGCUAGUACAGGACAGGGUGGGGAGCUCCCCCUUCUCAGAGACGAAGGGGAGGGGAAAGAGGCUGUGGGAGGGCUGGGAGGAGAGGUGGGGGCCGAUCGGGAUGUGUGUAAAGUUAAU
RNAcentral lists this long non-coding RNA (3931 nucleotides) under Mus musculus (house mouse). RNAcentral describes it as "long non-coding RNA chr1:43549162-43553093". Lineage: Eukaryota; Metazoa; Chordata; Mammalia; Rodentia; Muridae. The record is from RNAcentral.